CAAUGGCUGUUCCAGCUCGUGUUGUGAAAUGUUGGGUUAAGUCCCGCAACGAGCGCAACCCUUAUCCUUUGUUGCCAGCGGUUCGGCCGGGAACUCAAAGGAGACUGCCAGUGAUAAACUGGAGGAAGGUGGGGAUGACGUCAAGUCAUCAUGGCCCUUACGAGUAGGGCUACACACGUGCUACAAUGGCAUAUACAAAGAGAAGCGACCUCGCGAGAGCAAGCGGACCUCAUAAAGUAUGUCGUAGUCCGGAUUGGAGUCUGCAACUCGACUCCAUGAAGUCGGAAUCGCUAGUAAUCGUAGAUCAGAAUGCUACGGUGAAUACGUUCCCGGGCCUUGUACACACCGCCCGUCACACCAUGGGAGUGGGUUGCAAAAGAAGUAGGUAGCUUAACCUUCGGGAGGGCGCUUACCA
This 415-nucleotide ribosomal RNA is filed under the name bacterium 28S224. Its description in RNAcentral is "bacterial SSU rRNA". It matches the Rfam family "Bacterial small subunit ribosomal RNA", at positions 1043 to 1459 of the family's 1533-position model. The record is from RNAcentral.